RNAcentral lists this ribosomal RNA (398 nucleotides) under uncultured bacterium. RNAcentral describes it as "bacterial SSU rRNA". It matches the Rfam family "Bacterial small subunit ribosomal RNA", at positions 30 to 426 of the family's 1533-position model. The record is from RNAcentral.
AUUGAACGCUGGCGGCAUGCCUUACACAUGCAAGUCGAACGGCAGCACGGGAGCUUGCUCCUGGUGGCGAGUGGCGAACGGGUGAGUAAUACAUCGGAACGUACCCUGAAGUGGGGGAUAACGUAGCGAAAGUUACGCUAAUACCGCAUAUUCUGUGAGCAGGAAAGAGGGGGAUCGCAAGACCUCUUGCUUUAGGAGCGGCCGAUGUCGGAUUAGCUAGUUGGUGAGGUAAAGGCUCACCAAGGCGACGAUCCGUAGCGGGUCUGAGAGGAUGAUCCGCCACACUGGGACUGAGACACGGCCCAGACUCCUACGGGAGGCAGCAGUGGGGAAUUUUGGACAAUGGGCGCAAGCCUGAUCCAGCCAUGCCGCGUGAGUGAAGAAGGCCUCGGGUUCGG